RNAcentral lists this ribosomal RNA (529 nucleotides) under uncultured bacterium. RNAcentral's name for it is "bacterial SSU rRNA". It matches the Rfam family "Bacterial small subunit ribosomal RNA", at positions 28 to 534 of the family's 1533-position model. The record is from RNAcentral.
AACGAACGCUGGCGGCGCGUUUUAAGCAUGCAAGUCGAGCGGCAAGGGGCCUUCGGGCCCCUACGAGCGGCGGACGGGUGAGUAACACGUGGACAAUCUGCCCCCCGGCCCGGGGAUAGCCCAGGGAAACCUGGAUUAAUACCGGAUGAGACGGGACCCGCGAUGGCGGGAUCCGGGAAAGGCGCUGCGGCGCCGCCGGGGGAUGAGUCUGCGUCCCAUUAGCUUGACGGCGGGGUAACGGCCCACCGUGGCGACGAUGGGUAGCCGGCCUGAGAGGGUGUACGGCCACAUUGGAACUGAGACACGGUCCAGACUCCUACGGGAGGCAGCAGCUAAGAAUCUUCCGCAAUGGGCGAAAGCCUGACGGAGCGACGCCGCGUGAACGAAGAAGGCCGUUGAGGUUGUAAAGCUCUUUCGGGUAGGGGGAACGGACCGUGGCGAGGGAAGUGGCCGGCGGGAGUGACGUGAACGUCCCGGAAGUAAGCCCCGGCCUAACGUACGUGCCAGCAGCCGCGGUAAACGUAGCGUG